Long non-coding RNA from Oncorhynchus tshawytscha (Chinook salmon), 848 nucleotides. RefSeq lists it as uncharacterized. The transcript is spliced from 6 exons. NCBI's taxonomy places the organism in Eukaryota, Metazoa, Chordata, Actinopteri, Salmoniformes, Salmonidae. The record is from RefSeq and is a predicted model, not a curated record.
AAUUUAAACUCUUCCCCUCUCCUUCAAGGUCACCCAAGUUGAGGUAAACGGUCGAAGGUAUCAACGUCAACGAAAGCGAAUCUUAAUCGAACCUAACCUAUAUGGAUAAAAAUAUAAACCAUGGAAAAACAGUGCUCAGAUCUUGUCCCCUGGACCUUGGAGGACUUUUGGUGUGGAUGAUGUUCAGGUUGGAUAUUCCUUUAAAUGAUUCCACUGAACUGUACCAUUUGAUUGUCAUUCCUGUAUUGAAAAUGGUACCUUGUUCACACCACAGGGCCUACCAAAGCAAGGUUUCUCAAACAACUGUGGGGUGUUUGUUUUGAUGUAUGCCCUGUACAUUGCAAUGGAAGCACAGUGUGAUUUCACUGAGGAAAACAUGCAGCAAAUUAGGCGAUGGUGGUGCCUAGUUCUCCUGCAGAACUUUCCCAUGCCGUCUGAAGAAGUGAGGUUGAAAGAUGGAAAAAGGCGUGGCGAAAACAAAACACACUACAGGAAGCAGAUGUUCUUCUAAGGGACACACUAGGGGCAGCAAGGUGGUGCGAACUCCAAACAUUUUAAGGAACUGUUUCCCUCCCUAGUGUAAUUGGGAUGGAAGUGGAAGACCGCAUUACAAUACUUAAAGAACUACGGUUGUAUGAUGGCCUGGAUGAAGAGGAAAAUAUUCUCAAGGAACCAUUCCUGUUACAGAGAAAUUAUGAGAUGAUCUAUGUGGAGGCAGUUGACAACAAGAAAAUGACUGUCUGCCUCUUGAGGAGCAGGAGUGAAGCCAUUUUUGAGGAGUGGUCAAACCUUGUUUUUGUCUGCUGUGUUAAUUGUUAAUUGUGUUUAGUAAAGAUGAUGUAAAGUCA